Long non-coding RNA from Clupea harengus (Atlantic herring), 430 nucleotides. The record is from Ensembl. Lineage: Eukaryota; Metazoa; Chordata; Actinopteri; Clupeiformes; Clupeidae.
UAUCGCUUGGCAAAUACUGUAUUAGAAGAGGAAAAUGGGAAAAUUGUGCCCUCAUCUGAUCCAAAUGAGAGAGAAAGGCGCAAUGAGAUGCUUGCUGAUAUUGAGAAUUUCCUGAUGUCGAACCUUGAGAGGAAGAGUGACUUAACCAUUGUCUUGGAGUGUCUCGAAAGCAUGCAUGAAGACUUGAAUGGGUUGGAGGUGGAUAAGGAUUUAAUUGAGGUUAAUAACAUCACAAGAGCAUGGGUAGCAUUGCAGGAUACAACGAUCCAGAGGUCCCUGUCAAGUAUUGAGACUGGUGUCAUGUGUCUCCACAAGCUUUGCGACCUUAUUUUUAGCGGGAAUAGAAAGAAGACCGCAAAAGAGAAGCAUGCAGGCAGGAAGGCAGGUGAUACUUGGUGUUGGUGGAGGGAGAGCCGUGUGAGUGCUCACA